AAUGAACGUUGGCGGCGUGGAUUAGGCAUGCAAGUCGAGCGCUCAUAGCAAUAUGGGAGCGGCGAACGGCGUAGUAAUAUGUAGGAACGUACCCUCGGGUCGGGGAUAGCCAUGGGAAACUGUGGGUAAUACCCGAUAAUCUCUGCGGAGCAAAGGUGUGAUUCCGCCUGAGGAGCGGCCUACACGAUAUUAGCUAGUUGGUAGGGUAAUGGCCUACCAAGGCUACGAUGUCUAGGGGGUGUGAGAGCAUGGCCCCCACGACCGGAACUGAGAUACUGUCCGGACACCUACGGUGGGCUGCAGUCGAGAAUCUUCCGCCAAUGGACGAAAGUACUGACGGAGCGACGCCGCGUGCGGAGUGAAGG
This 365-nucleotide ribosomal RNA is filed under the name uncultured bacterium. RNAcentral describes it as "bacterial SSU rRNA". It matches the Rfam family "Bacterial small subunit ribosomal RNA", at positions 29 to 414 of the family's 1533-position model. The record is from RNAcentral.